UGCGUAGGCGGGCUAAUAAGUCAGUGGUGAAAUCUCUCGGCUCAACCGGGAAACUGCCAUUGAUACUGUUAGUCUUGAGUUCGGUUGAGGUAGGCGGAAUGUGUAAUGUAGCGGUGAAAUGCUUAGAUAUUACACAGAACACCAAUUGCGUAGGCAGCUUACUAGACCGACACUGACGCUGAGGUACGAAAGCGUGGGGAGCGAACAGGAUUAGAUACCCUGGUAGUCC
Molecule: ribosomal RNA, 229 nt
Filed under: uncultured bacterium
Lineage: Bacteria
Description: partial 16S ribosomal RNA
Rfam family: Bacterial small subunit ribosomal RNA
Source: RNAcentral